Leptosomus discolor (cuckoo roller) is the source of this 73-nucleotide non-coding RNA. The record is from Rfam. Lineage: Eukaryota; Metazoa; Chordata; Aves; Leptosomiformes; Leptosomidae.
GCCCAGCUAGCUCAGUUGGUAGAGCAUGAGACUCUUAAUCUCAGGGUCAUGGGUUUAAGCCCCAUGUUGGGCA